CGCACCUUGCGCUCCUUGGUAUUCCGAGGAGCAUGCCUGUUUGAGUGUCUUGAAGUCAUCAACCUCUCCCGUUUCUUGCGGGGCGUCGGUUGGAUGUGGGGGCAUGCUGCCGCGAGGCUGCUCCCCUCAAAUGCUUCGGUUGGACCUGUGGGUCGAACUCGACUGGGCGUUGUACCAUCCUCGCUCUCCCCGAGAUGUUCUCCACUUACCGCGUCCCUCCUAGACCUUGCCCGUGGGGUGGCGGUCAACAAAGCUCGACUUUGAAAUCUGACCUCAAAUCAGGUAGGACUACCCGCUGAACUUAA
This 305-nucleotide unclassified non-coding RNA is filed under the name Trechispora mollusca. RNAcentral describes it as "partial contains 5.8S ribosomal RNA, internal transcribed spacer 2, and large subunit ribosomal RNA". Lineage: Eukaryota; Fungi; Basidiomycota; Agaricomycetes; Trechisporales; Hydnodontaceae. The record is from RNAcentral.